AUGACAAACAGAAUGUUUAGUUUUAAGAUCAAAACAGUUUGGGAGAAGCCAUUUGAACAACUAUAAUGAUAAAACAGCAGUUAAACUGCAAGUCCACAUCAUCAGAAUCAUCAACAAUGGAAUGGUCUAAGUGACUCUGCAAUAAGGCAAUGACCCAGAAGAAGAAAAAAUUUAGUUAGUUUCUGGUCCAGUCGAAAGUCCUGAUGAAACAUGCUGAAACAUUGGUUGGAGGACUAAAGGGACAGACAGCAUCAGCUUUGUCUGUUGUGCUGAAAACCAUUCUAGACACAUGACUUUUUGCAAGUUUUCACUCUUUUUCCCUUGUAGAACACUAAUAACAAACAAGCUAACAAUAAAUAUAAACUUCACAAGGGUUGUUUUGGUAGAUAUAGGUGAGAUAUCACUUAAUAUUCAUAUUUAUAAUAAAUAUUUUCCAUCUCUACUGUUAAAAUGGAAAUACCUGUUCCUGCUGCAAGCUAUUAUCGUUGUGUUUUUAUUUUGUUUUAUGUACUGAUUGCUGCCAUUGUUUUGUACAUAAUUGUAGUUUUACUCUGGACUUGACUGUAUCAUAUUAUUUAUACUUAUUUAUAAAAAUACAGUUCAGAAUUCCUUUUUAAUCAACUGUAACUCUUGUUGGAAAUUUCAAUAUUAUGCCUGUAUCACAGGAGUAUUUUUUCAAGUUGCUUAUUCUUUUUAAUUGUAUUCCAAGAAUACCCAUACCUUCUAAAAAUUGUUAUACUCCUUAUUAUUGACGUCAUUAUUUUAAGAGUGUUAUUAACUAGUGUAUAGAAAUGUUACAAUUCAGUGAAUAAAAUUUAAAAAUAAAACAGUAGCACCCUAGCAUUUACUCUUUGGAAGUUCAACUUUUCUUUUAUUG
Mauremys mutica (yellowpond turtle) is the source of this 877-nucleotide long non-coding RNA. RefSeq lists it as uncharacterized. Lineage: Eukaryota; Metazoa; Chordata; Testudines; Geoemydidae. The record is from RefSeq and is a predicted model, not a curated record. The transcript is spliced from 3 exons.